UUUCUGCUAAAUUGCCAGAGGAUUCAAGAUGGUUCUUGUGCUUUUUGUAGAUGUCGGCCAAACUCUAUUGACCACUUAUUCUUUGGUUGCAGCACCACUAGUGCCCUUGCUCUUUUUUGGGCUACAAGAUGCAAUUUGGCUUGGCAAAAUUGAUGUUGGCUUGAAAAUUUAAAGUGGGCUCUGCAACAUAUUCGUGGAUAGCAAUUUCACCAGAUUAUUGCUUGGUUCUCCUUUGGCGCCCUAUGCCACAUGAUAUGGACUGAGAGGAAUUAUAUCCUCUUUCGUAAUUAGAACCUUUACAUGCCAGUGCUUAAAAAACAUCUCGAGAAGGUUGUCAUGGACAAAGCCCUUACUUUUAAACAUGUCCACGACACAACUAGAAACCGGAGAAUGCAAGGUAGCUAGGGUGUAACACCAACGAUCUUUGCUUAAGCCUUGGUAGUGCCUCCUCAUCUUUUUGUCAAGCUGUCUAUUUGGCCUCAUCACUCUUUUAGUGAUUCUCUUGUAUGGGGUUUACUCCCCUUGCUGCUUUUCUAUUUUACACCCACGACACCCCUGCACCCAUAGUGACAUUCCCUAAUGUCAAUAUAAGUGAAAGGUUUUGUGUAGUCGGGUUCCUUCUUGUAAGUCGCACUUUGAUUGGUUAAUAUACUUCUUACCUUACCCAAAAAAAAAAACUACAAAAGCAUUUGCCAAGGAUGUUUUGAUUAAUCAAGAACAAAAGUUGGGGGCUCAAAAAAGGUCAGAUACUGUCCUAGUCCUAACCAUAAACGAUGUCGACUAGGGAUCGGCAGAUGUUGCUUUUAGGAUUCCGCCGGCACCCUAUGAGAAAUCAAAUUUUUUGGGUUCUGAGGGAGUAUGAUUGCAAGGCUGAAAUUUAAAGGAAUUGAUGGAAGGGCACCACUAGGAGUGGAGCCUGCGCCUUAAUUUGACUCAACACAGGGAAACUUACUAGGUCCAGAAAUAGUAAGGAUUGACAAACUGAAAGCUCUUUCUUGAUUUUAUGUGUGGUGGUGCAUGGCCGUUCUUAGUUGGUGGAGCGAUUUGUCUGGUUAAUUCCGAUAACAAACGAGACCUCAGCCUGCUAACUAGCUAUAUGGAUGUACAUCUCCACGGCCAACUUCUUAGAGGGACUAUGGUCGCUUAAGUCAAGGAAGUUUGAGGCAAUAACAAGUCUGUGAUGCCUUUAGAUGUUCUGGGCCGCACGUGCACUACACUAAUGUAUUCAACGAGUCUAUAACCUUGGCCGAUAAGCCUAGGUAAUCUUUGAAACUUCAUCGUGAUGGGAUAGAUCAUUGCAAUUGUUGGUCUUCAAUGAGGAAUUCCUAGUAAGCACGAGUCAUUAGCUCGAGUUGACUAUGUCCCUGCCCUUUGUACACACCGCCCGUCGCUCCUACUGAUUGAAUGGUCGGGUGAAGUGUUUGGAUCGCAACGACGUGGGCGGUUUGCCACCGAUGACAUCGCAAGAAGUCUACUGAACCUUAUCAUUUAGAGGAAAGAGAAGUCGUAACAAGGUUUCCAUAGGUGAACCUGCGGAAG
This 1539-nucleotide ribosomal RNA is filed under the name Metrosideros polymorpha var. glaberrima. RNAcentral's name for it is "bacterial SSU rRNA". The stretch from base 553 to 1539 matches the Rfam family "Eukaryotic small subunit ribosomal RNA". Lineage: Eukaryota; Viridiplantae; Streptophyta; Magnoliopsida; Myrtales; Myrtaceae. The record is from RNAcentral.